Molecule: ribosomal RNA, 253 nt
Filed under: uncultured bacterium
Lineage: Bacteria
Description: partial 16S ribosomal RNA
Rfam family: Bacterial small subunit ribosomal RNA
Source: RNAcentral
UACGUAGGGUGCGAGCGUUAAUCGGAAUUACUGGGCGUAAAGCGCGUGCAGGCGGCUUCGCAAGUCGGUCGUUAAAUCUCCUGGCUUAACUGGGAGGCGUCGUCCGAAACUGCGGGGCUUGAGGUUGGGAGAGGGAAGUGGAAUUCCCGGUGUAGUGGUGGAAUGCGUAGAUAUCGGGAGGAACACCAGUGGCGAAGGCGGCUUCCUGGCCCACACCUGACGCUAAGACGCGAAAGCGUGGGGAGCGAACAGG